UUUUUUUUUUUUUUUUUUUUUGGUCUUUUUGUCUUUUUAGGGCCACACCCAUGGCGUAUGGAAGUUCCCAGGUUAGGGGUUAAAUCCGAGCUACAGCUGUCAGCCUACACCACAGCCACAGCUACGUCAGCUCUGAGCUACAUCUGCAACCUACACCGUAGCUCAUGGCAAUGCCAGAUCUUUAACCCACUGAGAGAGGCCAGGGAUCAAACAUGCAUCUUCUGGGAUUCUAGUCAGGUCCAUUCACUGCUAAGCCAUGACAGGAACUCCUGAUAUUUGCAUUAUUCUAUCUGACUUCACUUAGUAUGAUAAUCUCUAGGUGCAUCCAUGUUGCUGCAAAUGGCAUUAUUUCAUUCUUUUUUAUGGCUGAGUAGUAUUCCAUUGUGUGUAUGUACCACAUCUCCUUUACCCAGACCUCUGUCAGUGAACAUUUAGGUUGCUUCCAAGUCUUGGCUAUUGUGAAUAGUGCUGCUAUGGAUAUAGGGGUGCAUGUAUCUUUUUGAAGUCUGGUCUUUCCCAUAUAUGUGCUCAGGAGUGUAUUGCUGGAUCAUGUGGUGGCUCUACAUUUAGUUUUCAAAGGAACCUCCAUGCUGUUUUCCAUAGUGGCUACACCAAUUUAUAUUCCCACCAACAGUGUAAGAGAGAGUUCUCUUUCUCCACACUCUCUCCAGCAUUUAUUUUUUGUAGACUCUUUAAUGAUGGCCAUUCUCAUGGCAGGUGUGAAGGGGCCCCAGGUGGGCCUAAUGCCAGCUCCCUGGUGGGCAGAGUCAGGGUCCCAUAGACUCCAGGGCUGUUGCCCACCCAUUGGCAGGCAGCCUGUCUGCUGAUGGGUGGACUAUGUCCCCACCCAGUUAGUUGUUUGGCCUGAGGCAUCUCAGCACUGAGGCCUACAGGCUGUUGGAUGGGCUUGGUGCUAAUGAGCUAGAGGGUGGAUUUCAGGGUGGCAGACUCCAGCAUCAGCAUCUGCGUGGCUGAAUAUUCCCCAGUACAUUUGCCGCCAGUGUCUACCACCCGAGUGAGCCACAGCCCCCACACCUCUCCAGGGGACUCCCCAAGACCAGCAGGUAGGUCUGGCCCAGGCUCCUAUCAAAUUACUACUUUUGCCCUGGGUCCUGGUGUGUGUGAGGUUUUGUGGGUGCUCUUUAUGAGUGAAGUCUCUAUUUCCGCCAGUCCUGUGGGGCUCCUGCAAUUAAGCCCCAAUGGCUUCAAAGCCACAUGCUCUGGGGGUUUGUCUUCUGGUGCUGGACCCCCGGGCUGGGGAGCCCAAUGUGGGGCUCAGAACUCCCAGUCCUGUGGGAGAACCUCUGCCCUGUAAUUGUUCCCCAGUUUCAGGGACGCCCACUUGGAGGGCGUGGAAUCUGAAUCUCUCUCUCACCUACUCUCCUGCCCAUCUCCUGUGGGUCUUUCCUUAUGGCCUUAGUUGUAGAAGAGCUUUUCUGAUGGGUUCCAGUCCUUUGCAUGGAAGGUUGUUCUGCAGAUAGUUGUGAUUUUGGGGUGCUCCUGAGAGGAGGUGAGCUCAGGGCCUUUCGACUCUGUCGGCUCAGCCACCGUCCUCCACAAAGCCAUGUCUGGAAUGUUCUUUUGUGUUCCUGCCUCCUGCGCUCUGAUCAGCAGCUUGCUGACAUAACACAGGGGGACUAUUCACUUCCGGCUUUAUUUUUUAAUGGGCUUCCAAAGUCUUUUAUUAUGUUGGGUUUUUUUUUUGUUGUUGUUAGUUUUUGCCAGAGUCAAAUCUGUGCCAUACUCUUAGGAAUGGUCCCUCUGUGUGUGUAUGUGUGUGUGUUUGUCGGGGGUGCCGAUGCAGUGCCAAGUGUACUUUUGCAGUUGUGUCUGUACAAAGGUAUUUGUGUAAAUGCACAGAAGGUGGUGAGGUGCCUUUGGGAGAGCAUGUGGAUAUGACGGUGUGAGAAGGGAGGGGGUAUUUAUGUGGGGAAGGGUAGUUUCACAUAUUAAAGACGUGGAGAUGGGUCUGUGGGCAGCUGUGAGUAAGGCAGUGUGUCUCUGGGGCACUGGUGCAUCUGCCUAGAUACUCUUUGAAUAGAUGGAGAAGCAUGUUUUCAAGCUUGGCUUCCUUCUCUAGUGGAGGAGGAUAGAAAGAACUUCCCAGAGAAGGUUGGAUGGCUUCUUUCUACUCCCAAACCAGACUUGUUCACCAGGACUUUCUGGGGAAUCCUUGGAAUGGUACGAAAUUCAGGAGGUCCUGAUGCAUUAAAAACAACAACAACACGGAAAAAGCAAACAGCUAAUGUUUAUUGAGGGCUUAGUAUGUGGCUAGAAUUAAUUACCCCAGGUGCUUUUCAUUAUUGACUUUUUUGAUCCUCCCAAUAACCUUCCUGAGUAGGAACCAUGUUUAUUUCCUCUGUAGGUAAAUGGAAGUAGCGAGUAGGUGGUAGAGACAGGAUUUUGAUGCACACUCUUGAGCAUUACAGCCCUGUCCUCUCCCGAGUCAGCAUCCUGAAUUAUGGCGACAGAGACGGCCUCCCUAUUGCUCAGCCAAUUUAGCAGUGGUUAUCAUUUGCCCUGUUGCCGCCAGGAGAGGGGUUAACUCUGGGAACAUCAGAACCACUCCUGGAAAGAAGCCUGGUGCAGAGAGCAGAGACACGGAUGGCUUUUGGAUGCUCCCCUCUGCUCUCACGCCGCCUUCCUGUGGGACGUCAGUACCCUUGCUUGGCGACGAGUCCCACGGUGCCCUCUGGCUUUGCCUGGACUUGAGCGCUCCGACUCCCUGGGGCACCUUUUUAAGAUCUGAGAUGAAUCCCCAACCCUUGUAGGCCAGCAAGAUCACCCUAGGGAGCUUCUUGAGAAAGCUGUCUGUCUGGAGCUACGCUCCCAGAAUUAGGAUUCAGUGUGUCUGGGGAGAAGCCGGAAGCUUGCAUUUGGCACAAGACACUUCCCCCAGAUGACUCUGAGUGGGUGUCCAAGCACCAUAUUUUUAGAAAAACCACUCUCCACCUGCUUCAGGUGGGUAACUUUAAUACCCUCCUCCCGGCACCUAAGGAGCCCUGGAAAAGGCAGUCACGAUGGCUGAGCAGUGCCCCAAAUGGACCUUAAGAAAGCAGGGCCAGUAUAUUCCUCCAUAGUUGAAUCUGCAAUGCCAGGCAGUAUUUCUUCAAAGGCUGGUGGGGAGAGGAGCAGACGCCUGCCCAUGUGAAGUCAGGCAACCCCUCAAGGAAUUUAAAUGGGUCAGGAACUCUUAAAGAAUUUAAAUGAGCAUGAAAUAGGUAUAGAGCGUUUUCUGGGCCAAUAUGCAAAAGCCAAAUAGUAAAUAACUAUUUUCAGCGCCGAGUUUGGUUGGCAAAUUUGCAUAGACAUGUGAUGCCGUGAGUUUCUAUUUUUACCAUGUAAAUGUACAAUCUGUAAAGGGAGCUGUGUGCCCUGUGGAAAUCCAGUCUCAGGCUGUUGGCUGGGAAGAGCCGUUUUCAGUCUGGCUGGACCUAGAGUGUUGUGUGUUUUAAUGAGCCCAGGUGAGCGUUGAGAGAUGGGCAGAGAAAAGAGCGGGCACGCGGUGCAAUUUUUUCGGGCACUUACAGUGCCAAGAUCUCCCCUGCAGCAAAACGCUGGUGCCUGAAAAACGGAAGUUAAAGUGGAAAGUUGGACGUUACCCUUGUGCUGUUUAUAACCACUUCCCACCCUUUCUUUAAAACCCACUUCGUUUUGGGAUGAUCGUACUCUGAUCACUAUUGAUGAUUAUAUUAUGCCGAUUAUUGUGAUGAUUAUCGUAUUGUAGGUGACAUAUUGGCAUGCAUCUGCAGAACUAGGAAAGCUCCCUGCAUUUUUUUCCCCCUUAGUGUCAUUUUGUUUUAGAGGACAGGAGGGAGCCACACCGAAGGUUUUCUGGCAAAUCUCUUGAUGCUUUAACUUCAGCUCCGCAUGCGGUUACCUCUCAGGUGUUUUGUGAUUACCCAAGAGGAACCUCUAAGGGGUGACUUUGCCAAGUGAACUUGGCAUUUCCCUUUGGAUACUUACAUUGGGCAGUAGUACAUCCUCUGGAUACUUAGACAUUGGGAAGAAGUACAUCCUUUCACUUUUUCUUGCUACAAGAAUGUGUCUCAAGGAAAGAGGCUCUUAGAGGAGGAAGGGAACUUUGCUUGAGUCCUAGGGAGUGAGAUGGUCCUUGGCACGUGUUUGUAUACCUUCUGCUCGUGGCCUCAAAGGUUGCUGAAGAGUCAAGGAUGCUUUGCUAAAUUACCACUUUUUUGAAAUUGAAGUCUAGUUGAUUUACAGUGUUGUGUUACUUUCCGGUGGAUAGCAUAAUGAUUUAGUUACUCAUACACACAUGCAGACACAAACACACAUAUAUUCUUUGUCAAGUUCUUUCAGGUAAUUACAAGACAUUAAAUAUAGUUCCCUGUGCUAUACAGUAGAACUGUGUUGUGUCUCUAUUUUAUGUAUAGUGGUUUGUACCUACUAAUCACAUACUCCUAAUUUAUCCCUAGCCUCCUGUCCCCCUAGUAACCAUAAAUUUGUUUUCAAUGGCUGAGUCUAUUUCUGUUUUGUAAAUAAGUUCAUUUGUAUCGUUUUUAGAUUCUGCAUAUAAAUGAUGUCAUAUGCUAUUUGUCUUUCUGACUUUAUUUACUAUGAUCAUCUCUAGGCCCAUUCAUGUUGCUACAAAGGGCAUUCUUUCUUUUUUAUGGCUGAGUAAUAUUCCAUGGCAUAUAUGUACCAUAUCUUCUUUAUCCAUUUCUAGCCAUUGUUGGCCACAGGUAUCAGCAUUUGAUUUUAUUAAAAAGAACCUGUAAUGGAGAAGCAUGGUAAACAUAAAUUGGUCCUAAAAGGCCCCACUUUCCAAUGCCCCUCCCUUUGCACUCUUUUUUUUUUUGACUGUUUGAUUUAAAUGAAAGAUGGGCAAAGUGGCAUCUCCAGAAUCUCCAUGUGGGAGAAAUUAGAGCUUCUGUUUAAGGAGAAGGGCAGACAGCUCGAUGAAAACCCAGCUGUGGUUGCCCAAGGUUUUCAAAGGCAGACUGAGUGUCUGAGGCAGAGAGAGAGUCUGGAGGUUUGGUGUGGUCUUGCUUGGUUCUGAGAUGUUGUUGUGUCUAGAAGAGGAAGGAGUUCCUUUGUCAGGUCUCACCCUGAGUCAGUAGUGAUGCCCAAGUAAUCGGUUAUGGCCUGUCACCACAUUUGACAGUUUUCUAAAACUACCUCCCAUUGUUGUGACGUAGGUUCAAAGGCUUGCAAAACAUUUUCUCAAAAAAAAUUUUUUUUAAAAACCUUUUUUUUUAAAGUUUGUGUUCCCCCUUCUUUUCGUAAUUGAAAAAACGUAGUGAUGAACUAAAGAGAUGUUCAGCAAGCUUUGGGGCUGUGAGUGAAGCUCUAAGUUAGGCUAGAAGUGAUCUUCUUACAGCAUAAAGAUCUGUGUGUACACUACUGCGGAAUAAGGAGAAUUUUUUUCUAUUUUCAAAGAGCUCUUGAAAAGCGUAUACUGCAAACUCUUGCCCAAGCUGCCACAUCCUUGAAAUAGACUUACUGCGAACUGUGAGGAAGUUUCUUAUGUCUCGUAUAUUUUGACUUGCUUCUCUAGGAACGUGGUUUCUUUUGCCAUCAUUGAGUUGAGUAGAAAACUGUGUCUACCCCUCCAUCCUCCAUGCAUCCAUCCCUCUGUCCAUGCAUCCAUCCACUUACUCAUUCACAGUGCCUAUCCCUCCGCUAAUUAUCAGAAAUAUACCGAUGAAUCUGGUAUAGUCCCUAUUCCCUGCCCUCAAGGAGCUUGGGAUCUAAUAUAAUAGACCCUUGGCUUCUGCAUACUUCACAAUUUCUAAGAAGCCCAAAGCUUUGUGACCUUAUUAACUGUCAUUUUUGCUGAUGCACAGAUGUGAAUGGAUGAACGUGGUGCCCACAAUGAAACUAAUGAGAAAGAAGGAAUCUGUGAACUAAAGAGGGAGCCUAUCUGACAACAGCCCGGCACCCACCCUGGAAUCAGCUUUGUGCUUUUGCACCCAUCAUCUUUCUCAUAAGAGGGUAAAACAACUGUUUCAGGAGGUCCAAUAAACUCCGAAAGAAAACUAUUGCUAAUGCUAUUUAUAGAACUAAAGAGAUUCUCAAAGUUUUGUUGGGAAAAAAUUUGUAACAAACUCAUGUUGAGUAAUUUGCAUGUGCACAUAAGCUCCUCACUAAUAUCAAAGGUUAAAGGGGCCAGUUCCACUCUGUUACCACAGCCUUUGGGGAACGUGUGACUUUGUAGCCAACUACAAAUACUUGGUUCCUAGGACUCCAAGUUGCAAGAUUUCUCUCAACAGAAGGGGAUCCCACUCUUUGCUGUUUCUAUCAGUAUUUUUUGUAGAACACACAUAUCUACCCAAGUAAUUGAUGCCACAUCAAUGGUCACCCCAGCCGGGCUGUUGCUUUGACCUCAAUGUUACCAACCCCCAAGCUCGUAUCAGUUUUAGAACCUCUUCUCCCGGGGGACUUGGCUUGGACCAUGGCUCUUUGUAAGAUAUCACCCUGAGUCCCAUCCCCACCUAGAAGCCAUUGGCUUCCCAGCUUUGGGCACAGACUUCCUGCUUCCCAGUUGGCAGUGUUUUUGCCUCUUCAAAUGCCAUUUCUACAGUUCAGGAGCAGAAUCUGUUACCCUUUACUGUUGGGUUAUCUUGAUCUCAGUAUUUCAAGAGGUGACUGUCUUGCCCUUUUUUUUUUUUUUAAUCUUUUUUACCAUGAGGCCCCAAACACUGGGACCUCAGUUGGUUUAUGCCGUAUGAAAGCACCCUAGUGUGAGGCUACGGGUGAGCACCCUCUGUGUGGUCCUUGCUAUCCACAGACAGAAAUGCAACGUGAUGCAAUUCACACAAUAGGGGAGAGCUUGUCUCUUAGGUGUAAAGGAUUUCAAUGGAUUUCCCUGAAAAAAAAAAAAAAAAAAA
This 6851-nucleotide long non-coding RNA is filed under the name Sus scrofa (pig). Its description in RNAcentral is "lncRNA (ENSSSCG00055021690.1)". Lineage: Eukaryota; Metazoa; Chordata; Mammalia; Artiodactyla; Suidae. The record is from RNAcentral.